AUCACAUUAUUUAUUACGUCUGAUGGUAUCAGUUAUUACAACAUGAAAUUAUACACGGUUAGCUUUUAUUGUGCUCGUAACACUCAGAAAUUCGAAUAAUACUUUGGCGUGAUGUCACUCAGGAAGUUGAACCACCCGUUUGUCACAAUGUCACUUCCUGUGCUGCGUUGCAGUGGUACGGGCCACAUACACCGGAGGCAGACACAGACCCUGAAGGUGCCUUACUAUGUAGGAGCUAGCUUCACCGAGCGAUAUUCUGGAAAAGACCUGAAGACCGCAUCUCCAACCUCAGGAACAGUUGCUGGAAGGAGACGAAACAGAAGGAAGGCUUGCUGUACCUUGCUCAUCAUUUCGGAGACUGACUUGUACCAAAGGGCUCAGCAGAUGGGAACGCCUACGACUCGGAGAUUCAGAUCACGAUACAGGGAUAAGAACCCACAGACAUACAGAAGGGUACAUUUUAAUGGUGGGCACCAAUAUCUAAAAUUCCCACAGACAUACACGCAUAUAAUUUAAUGCUACACACAAAUCACAAUUGCUGCUGUCAGACUCUUAUUAUGAUUGCUAAAUACUGCACAAUUUAAACACUUGCCCCCAAAUCCCCCCUUCCCCAAAACGUAUAAAUAUUGGAUUAUAGAUUGUGCCUUCCUGUAUUAUACUUUUGGUAAAAUGUUUAUUCUCUUCUACUGAGCCAUUUACUUUAGGUUGGUAUUCUUAUCUUUUAUUAUUUCUUAUUGUUGUUGCAUUGUCCAGAAGGAAGAUGCAAGUAAGCAUUUAAUUGGCUGGUGUAUACCACAUGUAUCCUGUAUGACUAAUAAAACUUGAAAAAUAUAUCAGUAUCGCUUGAUACUGUUUUGACCUCAAUAUUGUUUGAUUUGGGUUUGAUAUCGAUAUGAGCAAGACAUAUCACGCUAUUGGUUUAUCCUUCCUGUUAACCUAUGCUAUUAUGUAAAAAAAAAGCAUAAAUGACUGUUUCUGCAUGCACAAAAUCCUCUCGCAGAUGUUCACAUGCUCUCAACUUUAUAUACUUAACGUGAGCAUUUGUCUCCAAUAAAAAAAUUGCUUGGACAUGUGGUGCGGCAGGUAGCCUAGUGGAUAGUGUUGGGCCAGUAACCGAAAGGUCGCUGGUUAGAAUACCCAAGCUGACAAGGUGAAGUCUGUCUGUGCCCUUGAGCAAGGCUCAAGGGGCGCCGUACUACCAUGGCUGACUCUGUAAAACACAUUUUACUGCAUCUGUGACAAUACAUUUUUUUUUUCUGGUUUCGGCAAUUUAGUUGAUUUGGCAAUGUGAAACCAACCGGACCAAAUGUAAAUAAAAUACUAUAGCUCAGAA
Oncorhynchus keta (chum salmon) is the source of this 1333-nucleotide long non-coding RNA. RefSeq lists it as uncharacterized. The transcript has 2 exons. The record is from RefSeq and is a predicted model, not a curated record. Lineage: Eukaryota; Metazoa; Chordata; Actinopteri; Salmoniformes; Salmonidae.